CAGCCCUACGGGAGGCAGCAGUGAGGAAUAUUGGCCAAUGGGCGGAAGCCUGAACCAGCCAAGUCGCGUGAGGGAAUAAGGCCCUACGGGUCGUAAACCUCUUUUGCCGGGGAGCAAGGGCGGGGACGUGUCCCGGCCCGGAGAGUACCCGGAGAAAAAGCAUCGGCUAACUCCGUGCCAGCAGCCGCGGUAAUACGGAGGAUGCGAGCGUUAUUCGGAUUUAUUGGGUUUAAAGGGUGCGUAGGUGGGCUUUUAAGUAAGCGGUAAAAAUUAGGGGCUGAAACACGUAGGGAUGUUGAAAAUGG
Molecule: ribosomal RNA, 305 nt
Filed under: uncultured bacterium
Lineage: Bacteria
Description: bacterial SSU rRNA
Rfam family: Bacterial small subunit ribosomal RNA
Source: RNAcentral